GUGUCAGCAGCCGCGGUAAUACGGAGGGUGCUAGCGUUGUUCGGAAUUACUGGACGUAAAGGGCGUGUAGGCGGUCCGCCAAGUCAGAUGUGAAAGCCCUUGGCUUAACCAAGGAAUUGCAUUUGAUACUGGCGAGCUAGAGUACGGGAGAGGGAGGUGGAAUUCCUGGUGUAGCGGUGAAAUGCGUAGAUAUCAGGAGGAACACCGGUGGCGAAGGCGGCCUCCUGGACCGAUACUGACGCUGAGACGCGAAAGCGUGGGUAGCAAACAGGAUUAGAUACCCCCGUAGUCC
This 292-nucleotide ribosomal RNA is filed under the name uncultured bacterium. RNAcentral describes it as "partial 16S ribosomal RNA". It matches the Rfam family "Bacterial small subunit ribosomal RNA", at positions 505 to 796 of the family's 1533-position model. The record is from RNAcentral.